Cyprinus carpio (common carp) is the source of this 1167-nucleotide long non-coding RNA. The record is from Ensembl. Lineage: Eukaryota; Metazoa; Chordata; Actinopteri; Cypriniformes; Cyprinidae.
GCUUUUGUUCCAGUCACCUGUUUGUAUAUGAAUGGAGCAGACAUGGGUAUAUCACGAGGAUGACUGACAGAUGGAAUUACCUUUGAAAGAAUAUCAAGCUGGACUUCUUCGACUGGAUAUUUCACAUAAAAAUUUCAGAUCAGUCUUUAGUGGAUUUCUUAAGACGUGCGGAUACUUUCCAUUACAAAAGGAUAUUGUCAGGGGGCUGAAUGAAGUGCAGAUCCACUAACUUUUGGAAAUCCCAUCCGUCUCACGGUCAUUCCAAAAGAUGUACCGGAAACUGCUCCGGUUCUGUCCAUCUUGUCCCCUUUCAAGGGCGAUGGACCGGAUAUUUGUCUGGCCGCCGGGUUCUUUCCUCAAGAAAAGAAUAUGACUUUGACUUUGGAAGUGAUAAUACAAAAAUCAAUGAAUGCAAAAUGGAUGGACAAACUGCAGACAAAACUCCAGACACUCCUGAAACGACAGAUAAACCCGAAAGACCGACUCCAAACAAAUGUGAAACAAAUGCUAAAACUUCUGCCUCAGGGUUCAUAGACACUGGUGUUCCAAAAAUGAACUUCAUGAAUCUUCUUGUGACAGGUCUGAGAAUUCUGCUUGCUAAAUGUGUUGCAGUUAAUGUAAUGAUGACUGUAAAGGCAUUCGUAUUUUAAAAGUUCAAUUCAGCCAAAUCAUCUGAAUAAUCUCAAUUAUUAAGUGUAACUUGAUCGAACCCUGACAAACAAACAAAUGCGGUUAUACAGUCAGCCACAGGGUCAGUAUUAAUCUAUAUUCUGUCUAAUAAUGUUACAUGGAAUGAAAAAUACAAAUUGUUAGUAAUGUCUUUCAAAUAUACAGAAUAUCAACAAACAUUGCAAACCUUUUUGACAUUUAGAAACAUUUCUGAAUUCAGCGGUAUAAUGUGUGUAUUGCUUUGCAUUGGUGUGUGUAUUUUCAGCUUUAGUUGCAAAUAAGUGCAAGUUAAUUUUUUUAUAUACUUUUACAUUUUUUACUUUUUUUUCCUUCUUUUUUUUUUACAUAACAGUAUUGCAUUGUUUAAGACUUUUACAUUGUCUAAUUGUAUAACGGAUAACUAUUUGACUUUACUAUUGAGGCACUGAUCUUUGCAUGUAAUAUGAUUUUUCAAAAAUAUAUUAAAUAAUAAAAUGUCUUGAUAAAAGAGAAGUUUCA